AGAGUUUGAUCAUGGCUCAGAUUGAACGCUGGCGGUAUGCUUAACACAUGCAAGUCGAACGGUAACAGGAUUAGCUUGCUAAUCGCUGACGAGUGGCGGACGGGUGAGUAACGCGUAGGGAUCUGCCUGACAAUGGGGGAUAGCCCGGUGAAAACCGGAUUAAUACCGCAUACGUCCUAAGGGAGAAAGGGUGCCACUUCUUGAAAGCACUCGUUGUCAGAUGAACCUGCGUUGGAUUAGCUAGUUGGUAGGGUAAUGGCCUACCAAGGCGACGAUCCAUAGCUGGUCUGAGAGGAUGAUCAGCCACACUGGGACUGAGACACGGCCCAGACUCCUACGGGAGGCAGCAGUGGGGAAUAUUGCGCAAUGGGCGAAAGCCUGACGCAGCAAUACCGCGUGUGUGAAGAAGGCCUGCGGGUUGUAAAGCACUUUCAGUAGGGAGGAAA
RNAcentral lists this ribosomal RNA (446 nucleotides) under uncultured marine bacterium. Its description in RNAcentral is "bacterial SSU rRNA". It matches the Rfam family "Bacterial small subunit ribosomal RNA", at positions 8 to 450 of the family's 1533-position model. The record is from RNAcentral.